ACUCAAUAGAUACCCAGGUAGUCCACGCCCUAAACGAUGCAUACUUGGUGUGGGCAGUUCAGUCUGUCCGUGCCGAAAGCUAACGCGAUAAGUAUGCCGCCUGGGGAGUACGGUCGCAAGGCUGAAACUCGAAAGGAAUUGACGGGGGCCCGCACAAGCGGUGGAGCAUGUGGUUUAAUUCGACGCAACGCGAAGAACCUUACCUGGGCUCGAACGGCUUUGGACCGGCUCUGGAAACAGAGCUUUUCCCGCAAGGGACUGAAGUCGAGGUGCUGCAUGGCUGUCGUCAGCUCGUGUCGUGAGAUGUUGGGUUAAAGUCCCGCAACGAGCGCAACCCCUGUCCUGUGUUGCAACCCGAAAGGGGCACUCUCAGGAGACCGCCAGCGACAAGCUGGAGGAAGGUGGGGAUGACGUCAAGUCAUCAUGGCCUUUAUGUCCAGGGCUACACACGUGCUACAAUGGGCGGUACAAACCGCAGCAAACCCGCGAGGGGAGCAAAUCGGAAAAACCGUUACUCAGUUCGGAUUGCAGG
This 532-nucleotide ribosomal RNA is filed under the name uncultured bacterium. RNAcentral describes it as "bacterial SSU rRNA". It matches the Rfam family "Bacterial small subunit ribosomal RNA", at positions 772 to 1304 of the family's 1533-position model. The record is from RNAcentral.